Molecule: ribosomal RNA, 452 nt
Filed under: uncultured bacterium
Lineage: Bacteria
Description: bacterial SSU rRNA
Rfam family: Bacterial small subunit ribosomal RNA
Source: RNAcentral
GAUGAACGCUGGCGGCGUGCUUAACACAUGCAAGUCGAACGAAGCACUUUAUUUGAUUUCCUUCGGGACUGAUUAUUUUGUGACUGAGUGGCGGACGGGUGAGUAACGCGUGGGUAACCUGCCUUGUACAGGGGGAUAACAGUUGGAAACGGCUGCUAAUACCGCAUAAGCGCACAGCAUCGCAUGAUGCAGUGUGAAAAACUCCGGUGGUAUAAGAUGGACCCGCGUUGGAUUAGCUAGUUGGUGAGGUAACGGCCCACCAAGGCGACGAUCCAUAGCCGACCUGAGAGGGUGACCGGCCACAUUGGGACUGAGACACGGCCCAAACUCCUACGGGAGGCAGCAGUGGGGAAUAUUGCACAAUGGGCGAAAGCCUGAUGCAGCGACGCCGCGUGAGCGAAGAAGUAUUUCGGUAUGUAAAGCUCUAUCAGCAGGGAAGAUAAUGACGGUAC